This 462-nucleotide ribosomal RNA is filed under the name Klebsiella pneumoniae. RNAcentral's name for it is "partial 23S ribosomal RNA". It matches the Rfam family "Bacterial large subunit ribosomal RNA", at positions 401 to 867 of the family's 2925-position model. Lineage: Bacteria; Pseudomonadati; Pseudomonadota; Gammaproteobacteria; Enterobacterales; Enterobacteriaceae. The record is from RNAcentral.
GAACUCGAAGAGUAGGGCGGGACACGUGGUAUCCUGUCUGAAUAUGGGGGGACCAUCCUCCAAGGCUAAAUACUCCUGACUGACCGAUAGUGAACCAGUACCGUGAGGGAAAGGCGAAAAGAACCCCGGCGAGGGGAGUGAAAAAGAACCUGAAACCGUGUACGUACAAGCAGUGGGAGCACCUUCGGGUGUGACUGCGUACCUUUUGUAUAAUGGGUCAGCGACUUAUAUUCUGUAGCAAGGUUAACCGUAUAGGGGAGCCGCAGGGAAACCGAGUCUUAACUGGGCGUUAAGUUGCAGGGUAUAGACCCGAAACCCGGUGAUCUAGCCAUGGGCAGGUUGAAGGUUGGGUAACACUAACUGGAGGACCGAACCGACUAAUGUUGAAAAAUUAGCGGAUGACUUGUGGCUGGGGGUGAAAGGCCAAUCAAACCGGGAGAUAGCUGGUUCUCCCCGAAAGCU